RNAcentral lists this long non-coding RNA (1197 nucleotides) under Callithrix jacchus (white-tufted-ear marmoset). RNAcentral's name for it is "lncRNA (ENSCJAG00000064796.2)". The record is from RNAcentral. Lineage: Eukaryota; Metazoa; Chordata; Mammalia; Primates; Cebidae.
AAUACCCGGUGCUCUCGGGCUUUACAGGAAUGGACGCUGGGCCCUUUCUCAAUCUGUUUAUGUUGCUAUAAAGGAAUAGCCAAAGCUGGGUAAUUUAUAAAGAAAAGAGGUUUAAUUGGCUCAUGGUUCUGCAGGCUGCAGGGAGCAUGGUGCUGGUAUCUGCUACUGGGGAGAGCUUCAAGAAGUCCACUCAUGGCAGAAGGUGAAAUGGAACAGGCAUCACAUGGUCCAAGAUAAUAAAGCAUGGAGCAGAUGUAGGGAUCAAGCAGAGCCACAUUCCUGCAUGAGCCGGACUUCCAGAAGGUGCUUGGCUGAGCUGGAGGCUCUCGUCCCAUCAUCCUUUUCCUCCUCACUCUGAACAAAGUUCCAUGCACGGAAGAGGGUUUCCCAGCUUCCAUGGGUCCUUUUUCUUUCCCUCUGCAGGUCCCCUCUUCCCCACUUACUGUUUAAACUCUUUACUCCAUUCCUUCUCAAAAUAAAGGCCAUUUAGUGAGAACUUCCUCAGUUUUUCUUUCUUUUCAUCUCAAUGCUGGCCCUCAGCAAUACUUAUGUAGGUAGACCAGCCUUCCCAGGGCAAGUUUUUUUUUUAAAAAAAAAAACCUCUGUGGUUUUAUCUGAAUUGUUUUUGUUCGAGGUUUAAAUGGAUCCAUUGAUUUUUCUGACCUAUUCAGAAACUUCGCUAUUUUUAAAUUAAAGAGGGAUGUGCCAAGUAAUAGCAAGCCAGCAAGCCAAAACCACUUCCAUUGGUGAAAAUCACCUUCAAGAAGGACAGACUGACUUUCAGAGGCCCGGCAAAGUUGUAGGAGGGGCUCCAGUCUGAGGGCAGGCGGUCUGGAGGCUCAGUUGUUUAAAGCCCAGCCCCUGAUGGGUGACCCUGCACUUCACUGACCUUCUCUGUACCAUGAGGGGGUUGGUCAGGGAUUUCAAGCCAAUUUCUAACUUUGACGACUCACCUGGGUCUCCUGAGCUUAGGGUCACUGGAUCCCUGCAACAGGAAAGCCCCAGAGCAUGAGUCACAUGUGAUGGCCUCAAUGGGCCUGCCUGUGUCCCUAUACAAGACAAUCACCUUGCCUGUCUGGGUAGGGCAUGCAUUGUGAGGUGCAAUUUAUAGGAAUGGGAGGAAAUUAGAGAAGUGUCUCUUUCUCAGUUUUAUAAAGACUCUAAAUGAGCCAGCCUCUCACUUCCACCUACCAGACC